Rattus norvegicus (Norway rat) is the source of this 69-nucleotide non-coding RNA. The record is from Rfam. Lineage: Eukaryota; Metazoa; Chordata; Mammalia; Rodentia; Muridae.
GGGGAUUUAGCUCAGUGGUAGAGCACUUGCCUAGCAAGCACAAGGCCCUGGGUUCGAUCACCAGCUCCG